RNAcentral lists this long non-coding RNA (5481 nucleotides) under Homo sapiens (human). Its description in RNAcentral is "HSALNT0369709". The record is from RNAcentral. Lineage: Eukaryota; Metazoa; Chordata; Mammalia; Primates; Hominidae.
CUUGUUUCAGAUGAGACUUUGGAUUUUGGACUUUGGGCUUAUUUCUCCCAGAAGUAAAACUCAGAUGACUAGGACAAGCUGUGGUGAGAGAAGCCAUUGGCUGCCAUCUAGACUGUGUUGAAAGCACACAGUCACUUGUUAAAGGCAGUAAGUGUUCACGGCUGACCUUCGCUUGGACAGGGAGGCAUUGUAGCAUAAAGGAAGAAUAUUAGACAUUGAAUUCAGAGAAAUAUUGGCUUUACCACUAAAAAACAAUGUGACUCUGGGUAAGUUUCAUAUAUUCUAUGGGUCUCAAUUCCUUCAUUAAAAAAAAAAAGAUAGUGGUCUUCGCAAAUUAUGGUGUCAAAGCUGUCUCUCUGCUGGUUCUUGCCAGCAACAAAUGACAAAAUGUAUGAAAAUUUUAAAUUCUGCAAGACAGAGCCAUGUCUUAUGCCUCUGAACAUAUUGCAUCCUCUCAUUCAUUUAAUAAAAAUUUAUUUGGUACCUAUUAUGUACUAAACAGUGCACUUGGUACUAGGAAUACAGUCAUGAACAAAUCAACUCUCCCUCUCCUUAUGGACUUGUGGUUUAGCAGAGGACACAGAAAUGUGGUAAAUCCAAAUGAUGACAUGGUUUUACAAACACUUGAAACAUCAGGGAGUUCUCCAUACAGUUACUAAAAUCAAGGAUGCAGAACAAAUUUGUUCCCAAGCUUUUGCUGGAGACCAGAAAAAUCAUACCAAUGAUGGUGUCUCCUCCCUCUCCCUGACUUUCGUGUUUAUACAUACUUCUUCCUCAAGUGCCUUAUGAAUAUUUUGUAAUCAAAUAAACAGAGGCAUGUUCUAGACAGAAUCUAGAUUCUCUCUCGUUACAAACGUGUUCCAAUUAUAAUUAUUUCAAAGUAUUUUAUGGUAAGAAAUCUCAUAUUUAAGAGUCAAUGUUUUAGAGUUUUUGGAGUUACUUUUGCAAUCCGAAGCUUUCUGAUUGGCUGACAUUAUCAUUGCUAUCUCUAUAAUUACAGGCAUGCAUCAUUUAAUGAUGGGGAUACAUUCUGAGAGAUGCCUUGUUAGGCAAUUUUAUUGUUAUAUGAAUAUCAUAGAGUGUUCUUUUACAAACCUAGAUGGUAUAGUCUACUACACACCUAGGCUAUAUGGUAUAGCUUAUUUCUCCUAGACUACAGACCUGCACAGCAUGUUACUGCGCUGAAUAUAGUGGGCAACUGUAACACAACAGUGAGUAUUUGUAUAUCUAAAAAUAGAAAAGGUACAGUAAAAAUGUGUUAUUAUAAUCUUAUGGGACCACUUUCAUAUAGGUUGUCCAUUGUUGACCGAAACGUUGUUAAUGUGGCACACGUCUGUAUUAUCAAAUAUUAUUUGAGUGUCUACUGUGGGUUAAGCACUGUACUAUGUACCUAGGAUAAUUCUGUAAUGAAGAAACAUAAUUUAAAUAGGGAAUCAAAACGUGUAUUUGAUUGGAAAGACGUAAUGCAGAGCAAGUCUAUAUCUGGUAAGGUAAGGCUGAAAACAACUAAAAUUACGAGAUAAAAUACAAAAUGCUUUCAUAAAAGCAUUGAAAAAUCUAACAUGACAUAAUAAGACAUUAUUUAAGAGCUAGAAUUUAGAGAGGUGAGCAGAUCAUUGCUUCGGCUUUCAGGACCUUUGCAAACUUAGAUUAAAUAAAUUAACUUAAAUUAGCUAUCAAAUAUAGCUGUGAGUUUGAAGGGUUCAUAGCCUGGAGGAAAACAGAAGUAAAAUUCAGCAUCUGUCAAAAGUUGCCAAAGUAGUAAUAAACAUGGUAGUUAUCCGAUCCCUUUCCUAGGGCACCAGAUUUGGGCACCACCACAUGUGAUGUGGGGCGGAUUGGCCAAUAGAAGCCAAGUGAAGUCAGACGCUCAAGAUGUAACUAAAGCAUUUAUGAAUAUCAUCUGUCUAAUCUGGAGAAACACGUCUUAUAGUUGGCCACUCUCAUGGUUCUUGUUGCCUUCUGUUGUUUGGAGGAAUCUAAGGAUUUAUGGAAGUUAUGUUGGUAUAUCAGAAGCUUGUUGGUAUAUAUUUGAGUAGAAGGGCUUCAAUGAAGUCAACUUAUACCACUAAGUGGAUUGUUGAUUCUUCGAUGGAUGAGGCUGUAUAAGGGGAUCAACAUUAAUCAAUGUUGCUGACAGGCUGGACAUUCAGCAGCAACCUUGACAAGAGAAUGAAGGCCAAAUUGAGUUUCCUUGAGCAACUCAUUUAACGUUAAGAAUCAAGAUGGUGCCCAAGCUCAGAUGACAUCCUUUCUAACCCAUUUGGAAGGCUCCUCUCAUAGGAGGUGUGAAAGAAAAGAGAAUGGAAAGGAACAGGCUCUUCUCUUGAAGAAAAGCCCUCAGUCCAUACAGCCAGACUUUGUCUACAUAUGCCUUUCUAUGGGAUGCUGAGAGACCAAGGGCUUCUGACAUAGACAUGUGAGAAAUACUGGCUUUAAGUAUACUAUACUCAGUGUCAAAAGCUUUCAGGAUGCAAGAAAUUCCUGAAUUUGAGUCUCCAAAAUUUUAAACAAGGAAAGGAAGUAAAAAUUAUCUCUUUUUCGAUGUAUGGCCCUAUAGUUGGCCAAAAAUGAUUGCUUCUGUUGUUAGAUAUUCAUGUAUAUUUAAGAUUAAAGAAGGUGAUAUUGAUGUGCAAAUAUGAGAGUAAAUUGACAGACAGAUAACCUAAAAAAGUACAGUAAAAUAAAGUUAAGAGUUGUGAUGAAUACCUAAAGGUCCAUUGCCAGAUGAAUGUGAAGACGGAAUGUGAUUUAUAUAUAUAGUGGAAUAUUAUUCAAUUAAAAAGAAAAUGCUAACACUUGCUAAUAUAUAUAAACCUUCAAGACAUUAUGCUAAGUGAAAGAAGCCAGAUACCAAAGGACAAAUAUUGCACUGUUCCACAUAUAUGAAGUGAACAUCACAUAUUGCUGAAGUUCUCAUCAUCAGAAAGAGGCAGAGCUAAGAUUUAAAUCCAGACAUGCCUGGUUCUGAAUUCAGUUGUCUUCCUACACCCAGGAGCUUAUUACAUGCAUUGUGCUAGUCUUCCUGGAAAUCAGGCAAACUCAGUCCACUGCACCUCAUCUCCUUAUGUAAUAACCUGGAGAGCGGUGAGAGCCAUCUGCUUCAAGAGCGACAUAUUUGAGUCCAUAAGGUAAUAGGUUGGCAGAGAACAGAAGGAUUAUGGCAUUGCCAUUUGGCAUUCUUGACUUACUCUGCAUUUAUAAAAUCGAAAUACAUAGUCCAUCAUGUUCUCACAGAGCCUACCAUUAUCAGUCAUUCUGAAAUAAACAUGGUUAGGGACAUCAUAUUCAAAAUAAGUGAUCCUUGUUUUCGGGAAUGAUGUCUGGCAGGAGGAGUUUUUAAAUCCUGCUUUCUGAAGCACUAGCUUACAAAUGACUUUGUGAAGUGUAUUUUGAUUCUGGGGCCCAAGAAGGAGAAAAACAAGUAAGGGAGAAAAACAUAGGCUGGAUCUUAAGAUCACAAGAUAACAGAUGGAUUAAAGGGUAGAAGCCAGAGCAGAGGUUCCAAAACAAGAUUGAUCAUUCAAAUUCAUCUGAAGAACUUUAAAUAUAUGUAUUUACCUGAACCCAGCUUCAGGAAUGAGGCUCAGACAUCUGUGUAUUUAAAAUCUCCUGUGGUUAUUCUGAUAAUUAGCCUCAGUUUUGAGUCAUCUAACAAAGAAAAAGCAAAACAUAUGUCAAUCAGUUUAUCUUACUGUAAUUAAACUUCAGUGGGAAACAUGAGGUGACCCCAAAGAACUGGUUAAGUGUGGCUUAAGAAUUAGUUAAGCAAAUGUACCAAAAGACAAUUUUAAAAAACCAAAUAAAAAGAAAUUUUAGUUUAUUCUCAGGGGCUUUCACAGGAGUCUAUAAAAAUCUCAAAAACAUCCAGGAAGCUCCCAUCGAAUAAUUUGGCUACCUGAAGUGCUGAAUAAAAGGAGCUCUCCCAAAAGAAGCUGUGAAUUCUCUAUCAGGCCCAUGUCCACUCUUCUAGUCAUAGCCUUACUUCUUAAAGAAAGAGAGAAGCUCUAAUCCAAAUCCAAACAUAGGACAUAUGGCGAAGAUUAUUCUGAGAGACACAGUCCCAGAUUCUCCUCUGCUAUACAGGUGUGACAAAAAAGGAGCAAGAACAAAGACUCUAACAUAAUCCUUAGAUGUUUAUAAUAGAAAAAAGAAUGGAAAGAAAUAAACUUUAGCAUUUACACAGGUUGAGCUGACCUAAUCUGAAAAUCCAAAAUCCAAACUGCUAAAAAACUGAUUGAGUUCUGAAGCUUUGAGUGUCAAAAUGGCUCCACAAGUAGAAAGCUCCACAUCUGACCUCAUGUGAUAGGUCACGGUCAAAAUGCAAUCAAAAUUUUGCUUCAUGCCCAACAUUAUUUAAAAUAUUGUAUAAAAUUACCUUUGGCUAUAUAUUAAUAUGUAAGGUAUAUAUAAAACAUUAGUGAUUUUUGGUUUAGUCUUGGAUCCUAUCCCCAUAAUAUCUCAAUAUAUGUAUGCAAAUAUUCCAACCUCCCUGCGCCCAAAAAAUCCAAAAUCCUAAGCACUUCCAAAAUCUAACAGUAAAACAGGCUGAGUAUCCCAAGCAUUUUGGAUAACAGAUGUUCAACCUGUAUCACUUGGGGUCCAUUCAGGGGAACAAACCCCACGAGGUAUUUCAACAGAGAUAAUUUCAUAUAGGGAAUUUGUUAAUCAGAUGAUGGGGAACUGAAAAGGAAAAUGAGAACAUUAGAAGAGAUCAUUACAAAAAGCUGCUACCUCCCCUCAGGCUGGAGGAAUGAAAGGAAGCUGAGAUCAGGAAGCUCAUUGGGAAGCUGAUCAAAACUUACAAGGUUCAUAGAGGGGCCCAAAGAUUUAGGACUCAGAAUUCCAAGGAGGGUGUUACCUACCUCCAAGGAGGCUGCUACUGAAAUCUCAGGAGCUUGGAGGGAGGGUCUCACACAAUGGGGGCCUAACCUCUGAAGUGAGGAGCUACCAGCUAGUGCUGGUACCUCAGAAGUUGGGAAGAGGUCCUGUGAUGUUGAGAUGCAGACACAUAAUGAGUGGGCUCUGCAGCUGGUGGUCGUGAAGGGGCACAAUGACUCUGUUAGUGGGAAUGGCCCGAUGAUCUGAAAGCUGUAAUUAACAGCUGCUGCCAGGGUAAAAGGCCAAAGUGGGGUGAUCUGAUGGGAAAAAAUAAACAAGCAGAAAUGAACAAGUUCCUUCUCCCCUUCUCCUGCCAUUUACUCUUCCCCUAGUUCUUCCUAUUGAUGGAAAUUAAUAGUAAGCCUUCUGACAAAGGAGACAUGUUGUCUUCAGAACCAUCAUCACAAAGUAGAGGCUAGGAAAGUAGAUGUGGAACCUAAUACCGGGUGAAUCAUUCAUCGCACAGUUUCAAAGGUGGCAACAGAAUUAGCCAAAAGCAAGUAUAGGAUGAAAAUAACAAAGGGAAGGGCAGAAAUAAAAUAAGACAUAAACAUUUGAUAGAGAGGACCAACAAAACAAAAUUUUAAUUCAGUGGGAAAA